GAGCUUGUCAAAGUACAUGUACAUAAUUUUCAUCAAAAUUUCUUUUACCUCAUUUCCAAUCCUCCAGGAUUAGAUUUAUCAGCAGCUCAUGCGGGGAGAGCUCUGUGCCUGCGUCCGAGCGGCUUUUCCACCUGCGAGCAGGACGCCGGCUGGGAAACACAUGCGCUUGUCUUCAGCCCGAAUGUUUCUCAGGUUCAACCGGUUUUUAACGGACUGCCUCGGGUGCCCGACAAAUUUGAGGCAUCAUUUUUAAAAAUGGUUUUACAGCUCAGUCCGCGCGUCGCUGGGUCGGUGGGGGAGAAGUACCGGUGGCAGCACUAAAGCGGGAGGCAAACGCAAAGAAAGAGAGCUGGGAAUCCAAAGAUUAUUCCCAUUUAAUGUUUAAUUUAUUUAUACUGGGGAAAGAUUAGCAGGCGAGCGCUGAUUUUGAAAUGUCCGGUAUACGCAGUAUUUAAAGGAUGAACUUAAAUGUGAGGAGACGCAAUCAAUGGCAAAGUAAGGGCGAGCAUCAGCGCCUCCUAUCUAAAUUACUGAUUUUCGACCACAGCGCCCAAACGUUUCCAUUUCCCCGCGUGGCUCCGUGCCGCUCCUGGUUUGGAUUAUUUAACAGCAAAUCUCACAGACGCCAGUUUUGCCUUGUUCCGAGGCAACAAGGACAAUAAGUUCCAGCCGACCCCAGGACAAAGGAUCCUGCAGGAGCGCGGUGUGUGUUUUACGCCGGCGGUGAGCAGCUCCCUGGAAUUGGGAGAGGGGGAAGCGUCACCCUGGCCACGCUGGCGACACGGCGCUGUGGCUGGGCAGGGGCAGCCCCAGACCCCGCACACGGGGAGGGGGCGGCCAGCGCAGGAACUUCUCUUUCCUGCCUUUUCACCCUUUUUUUGGCUUUAUUUUUAAACACGGCGUCGUCCGGGCCCGUGUGCACGGUGAGGGCACGUUACGGAGGAGGGGGCGGCAGGAGGGGACGCGCACGGACCCCGGCAGAAGGGGUUUGAUGCUGUUAGCCAAAACACCUCUCUAUUUCUCCAUCUUUUUGUGUCCUGCAUCACCGAACUGCCUGGCUGUACGUACGGCCCCGCGCUGCGUUAGCAGACAGUGUAUUUUAUUACUAGAUUUCUUGUCCCCCUGGCCUGUCCGCUACAGAAAAUCAUUUGAUUCCAAACAGUUAUUUCCCAUUGAACCGUAUUAGCUAAACUGUUACUAUUGCUGCAAAUGGCCUUGAUGCCGAGGAUCAAAUGGGUUUGGUUGCUGAUUGCGGCUACUGGGUUUACACCUGUAACGCAAGGUGUUGGGAUCCAGUUGGCAUGAGGUACUCAGUGUGCGCCAAAGUCCAUGACUUUUCACAAUUUUUAAUCACCGUAAUCCCACAAACUAAUCUUUCUUUGCUGUUUAUCAGGAUGUGGGCUGCUCAGUGCGGAAGGGUCUUCUACUGGAUACGGAAAAGGUUACGUGGAAAAUCUUUUUGAGGACAGAAAUGACCAAUACACCCCAACUGAACGCAAGCCGCCGUGCCGGAGCAUCCAUCAGCCUUUUGCAUCCAUCAGCAUCCAUCCCACCGCCUUUGCCACCCCCUGCACCCACCCCUUUCCUGCCUUUAAAGCAGGGACAUUGCGAGUGGCCAGAAAACACUGGGAUUUUGUCCAAGGCACAGCAGUUUUUGCAGGAAAGAGCAGGGACAGCAGCGUCUGAGCCCGGCUCUCCUCUCCACCAUCCUCAGGGGGACCCUGAUGUUCUCCCCAGCCCCUUAUUUAUUUAUUUCAGCUCCACUCCCGUUGAACUCCAAGCGAAAUUCCUGCUGCUUCGAUGGUACAAGACAGAUCCCGGUUUCCCCAGGAUGUGCAGGAGGAAGGCCCGAAGGUCUCUGAUUUUUAUUUGUGAAAGUGGAAUCAACGUGUGGUGAUGAUGAUUUUAUGGGAUUUCUAAAAAAAAAGAAUGCUUUUUGUCAUCCAGCGUUUGAGCGGUCACCUGUGAUUUAUGCACCAAAGGAGUAAGUAGGUCCAAAGCAGAGGAGAACAAAGCAGCUUUGCUCCGGGUAUCACGUCCGGACUCUUUGUCUGAGUUGCUGCAGCAAUGUCGGAGCUGGAGGGUAACGCACCGCAAAGUUGCCGUGGGAUCAUGCACUGAUUUACUCGGUGAUGUUAUGUGGGGGGGGAUCAAAUCGAACCGGUGUAGUUACCUUAGCAACCACCACAAAGUCUUGUGUUUGUGCUCCCGGACAGAGAGGUUGGGCCAGGGCAUCCCUGGUGUAAAGCCCGGCACCCGCCGCCGAGGGACGGGGCCCUGGGGGAGCUCCCGCAGAGAGGUGGCACCCGAGCUUCCCAGCCUUCGCUGGCGUCGGGGCGACGCGGAAAAGGCUUUUAUUUGCAUUGGCAAAGAUUUCACAGCUCCGUCCCAUUCUGACUUUGGCAGCUUGUUUCUCUUUUCAAAUACCUUCUGUAAUCUAUUACGAUAUAUAGGCCAGUCGUAUUUCCCCCCCUCACUCCAGCCUAUGUCCUCUUUCUAUUUAGGAAUUAAUUAUGAUGCUAUCUCAUAUAACUCAUUAGUAUCAAUUAAUUCUUUCCCUUUCAUGAUUUUAUAUAGCUAAAUUAGAUUGCCUCUUAGGAACUUAAUAAUCAGUAUUGGACUCAUUUAGACGUAUCUUUUUUUCCCUUCUCCACCCAGUUUUACUUGGACAUGAGGAAGUGGAGGCUGGAAAUGCCCCGUCCCCUCUGGUGGGGACAGGACUGGGGUGAUGGCACCACCGCGCCCCGUCUCCUCCAUCCCCACCAGCUCCGGCCUCUUCCAGCGCUGCAGGGCUUGGCCUCACCUCACCCAUAAUUCUGAAUUUUAGCGGUCUUUUUUUUAUUAUUGUUUCUUUAUUUUGGAGCUGCUUAAGACGUUAUUCUUGGUUUAUCAGCAUGAAUAGGAAAUACCCUACUUCCAGCAAUUGGCCAAACCAUCGUGAAUUAUCUUCCCCUUAAACUCGCCGCAGGGACAGAGAGAAACGUCGAGGGAGAUGUACGUUUUCCUCAUUCAUCUUGGUGGGGUGUUAACUUUGAAAUCACAGCGUUGCUGGCAUUCAUAUGUCCGUAUUUAACUGCUUCACUGCUUACUGGCACAUCGAAUCCAUUCAGGGAAAAAAGCAGUAAUAUGAUUGAAUAGAUCUGGCAGGACCUGAUAUUCCCCCUCAUUUUGAAUCUGAUCCAGCAGCCGCAAAGGCAAUUAAAUAACAAGUUUUCGCCGGCAAAAAUGAGUUGCAAAAUGCCCCCAGCUGCAUGAUGUAGGAAAUACACCUUGAUUUUACUAAUUGCCGUGCCUGUACCUCGCCGUGGGGGUAUCCGAGGCGGCUUUGCGUGACCCACUUCAUCUAUUUCCAAUAACCAAGCCGGGGCUGGGCGGUAGCCGAGUGCUGCCGCGUGGGGAUGUGGCAAAAGUUGAGCGGAUUUGCCUUGUUUAAAACAUCGACCGUCACCUCCCUUCGGUGACGCGAAGCUCCGUGUGCUCCUGCCAUCGGCCAGGAAGCGUGCUGGGUCGCAGCCUUUCGCCGCAAAUAACGGCCGGGCUGUUGUGGGUGCCUGUUAGCUUUAGCGAGACGGCAAAACGCAGCCUAAAGAGCAGAAUUUCAGGAGAUCAGCCAGGUCAUUUUAAAGAGCUGCUGCCUCACCAUCCCGGGCUGAAACCGAACCGUCCCGGCAGUGGCACUGAGCAGCCGUGAUCUGCUUUAGCACAACACGACCACCAAAAAGUUGGAAAUCUGUUUAAAGAUGGAGCUGAGAGGGGUGAAAGAAGGCAGCUUUAGGUAAGUUACUGUGGGCUGCGGCAAACUCAUGCUUGUAGAUGUGUACGUGUAGUAAAGGGCGAUAUGGCAUCUCAUUUACAUCGCCUGGCGCUGGAAAAGGAUUACCAAAAGAGGUACCCCCGUUGCAGGACAAAGUUGGCCAACGUUGCUUCUUCCUACAGCAACUUUGGGAGAUCGACGGCUCCUCUCCAGAGGGACUGCUGGAAAUGUCUGUAUUGAUCCCAGAUUUUAUUGUUUCCAUCUUCCCUGCCAGAUCAAACAACGGAGCCAGCGACAGGGAGAGGCAACAGGAGGGGUCUGCUGGGAAAGCAGGCACACGCAAAGCCUUUUUAAUAAGCAGCGUAAGGAGUGUAAUUGCUAAAUCCCAAUUAAGGCAGAUAUGGGUCAAGCGAAGGAAAAAGAAGGGUGGAUUUCUGUGAAAGGAGAGGAAAAGUCAAGAGGCUGAGGCUCGUAGGAUAACUUUAUUUCUGAAUACAUUCAGAUUUGCAACAGCUUUAUCCUCCCAUCGCUCCCUUGGUGUCCGGCUUCUCACCACCUCUGCCCCGGGCUCCCGGCCCGAGCCCCCACUUCAGGGGAACGGCAAGGGGAAAAAAGGCAGGAAAAAAGAAAAAGGCAAAAAAAAAAAAAGGAACUCAAAACUUUACCAAGAGGGCAAAAAAAAAAUUAUUUUUUGAGAAAGCAACAUGUGCUUCCCUUAAAAUUUAAAGAAAAUUCAAUCUAAAAGCCAUUCAGGAUGGCUUUCAAAUAUGAUUUUCACUAGAAAUGACAGAAAAUGUGCUAUCUCAUUUCUCUUCCCCCCCCAUCACCUAAAUGUCUGCUCAUUCUUCUAGGGAAAGAUUAUUCUCAUUAUCAACAAAGUUUAACUAUUAUUGUUCAAAUGUAAGGGUUUUACUGAAUAUGCACUUCCUUUGGCUAAUCAGGGAGCUACCCAGCAUUAUUUAAUCUAUUUACAUUCAUGUAUGCAAUUAUAUUUCAUAAUCUGAUUAUGUGUUUUAUAUCUUUAUAUGGAUGGAAAUGCUGAAUGUUGCAUUUCUUUUUUAUUAUAUGAGUUGUCGAGUUCUUUUGGGAUGGAAAUAAGAGUUCAGUAAGAUUGCGGUGAGAAUGGCAUUAAGUUCAUCAGCUAAAGAGACCCACCAAAAUAGUGCCGGAUGCAAAUGGAAGGACCGUGUUUCUCUACGCAUGUUCUGCACUUGAAGCUAAUAAAUUACAUUCAUAAAGUUAAUACGCAAAGGAGACAUUAUUAUCUAUGGUAAAAAAAAGGAAUAGAUUGUUUCUGGCCAUCACGUCCUUCAAGAUACUAAAAACCAGCAGAUCUCAUCCUUUGAAAUCUAUUUUUUUAUUCACAGGUAGGGAGAGGAAAACACAUUUUCUGCUCUUCCAGCUCCCAGUCGCGUUUCCAGUUUUGAGUGAAUUAGUCAUUGACCUGAACGAGCUGAAUACAUUGAAAUGAAAAAAAAACCCCACUCUGCCAUUGCUGAAAUCACUGUCACCAAGUUUGUCACUGCAGCAGACUCUGACUCCGGGUGCUGAGCUGGUGGCUUCUGCCCACUUGGACACCUGAACCACUUUGAAACGCUCUCGGAAAGUAUCUUCAGCCUAAGACUGCUUUGCAUUUAGUCUGAAGUAUUUCUCUAAGUUAUAAGUGGCUUUGGUCUCCUUCCCGUGGCACCCCUCCGUGCUGACCCAAACUGAUGGGUGCAAUGCCAGCCUCAGCCCGUGGUGGGGCCACGCGCCUUGGCCAACCCGUGUCCACCUGUAACCACCACCAGCACCGUGGUGGGGCCAUUAACCCGUGAAAGAGUAUCCCAGAACUACUUUUAGUUUUUUGUUUAAUGUGUUUUAUCAAUUUUAUUCAUCCGCUAUGAAGUCCGAGGGGCACAAGACACCCAUGAGUGUGGUGGUCUGUACCUGUAGGCGUCAGUCCCCACCGGCAUCCCCCCGUCUCAGCCCACCACCACGGCUUUGCCCUGCCUCACCAGCAGCAAAGCUUUCCCAGUUAGGGGGCAUUAUAGACUUGCAACUCAGAAAUAUUUAAUCUUCACGUUAAAAAUGUGGGGCGGAAUAGUCACUCGGGUCUGACAAUGAAAAGGCUUUCUCUUUUGAUCAUGAUGUCAGAAGAAUGUAGGACAAAGUAGUUUUUUUGUUAAGGUAAAGAGAAAAUUGAAAGCAAUCAUAGAAAACAAUGUAAGUUUGACCUGGAGGACUUCCAGUUGUGACUGCCGAAAUGUUUAUUUUAGCGCCCAAACCUGCUCUUUCUGCUGUCGCUUGUAUUUGAUCUUACUGUAGGCGUGCAAAGUACAGGCAGUUCACACAAACCGGAAAUAUUUACGUCAACGUCCGUGAAGAACAGAAAAUUUCAGCACAGAAACAAAAUAAUCUUUAUUUUCCUAUCUCGGCCUCAAAACGCGGCGUCCCUAUAGCAUGAAGCUGCCGAGUCCUUGCUCUUGCUUUGCCAGCUCCGGCGAACUGGCCUGAAAGCCCGGCAUCUCCUGUGUCCGCUCCUGGCAGAUGAGGCCGUUCGAAGGGCAGCACCGUCCCCAUCACACGUCUUGGGAGGAAAAGCUGUCCUGGUAAUGAUUGUUUCCACAAUAUUUGGGGGCAGCGCCUGGAGAGCAUGAGCUGAUGAUUUGCUUCUGUUAGCUGCUUGCCAGGCUAAUUAAAAAAAAAAAAAAAAAAAAAAAAGUUUAAAAUGGUUUAUUGCAGAUUUCUGAAUUUACGUCAGUAAUGUAAAUGCGUAGCUAAUUGCUCUGCUGUAUAUAUUUAUUACUUUUUGAACCGUUCCAGUUUCUGGGUUGUGGCAUUUUACAGCUAUCGAAAGCAGAGCAUUUUGGACGUCUUUAUGUGUAAUACCGUAAAGAGGGUUUUUCAGGACACCAUUUGUCUCUUAAAAAUGCUGCUCUGGGUCUGUACUUUCCCUGUGCUCAGGACAGGUCCCUCCUCGGGGCUGAGCCGCUGAAGGGUCUUAGCAAGCCCCCGGCCGGGGACGUGCAGCUCUGGAGCAGGGACUAAGGUGGGCGAGGAGGGCUUGGCUUAGACCUCCGUGGAACAGGGAGGCUUCGACAUUAUUUCAGCAGGCCUGAGCCAGUAAAUACUGCUUUGGAGCUGAAAACUAAAAGGCCUGUGAGUACUUUUCCCAUAAGAACCAAUAUUUGUUUCUUUUUAUGUUUUGAUAAACAGUAGGACUUUCUGAAAUGCUCCUGCACAGCAGCCUCUCGAGGGUCUCCCAUCCAUACUGGCUACGCCUGACACCCACCGCACACCUCAGCGGAGGGGCUGGCAGAGACAAGUACAGCAGGGAAAGAGGGUGAAGCGUGUCUCUGCCAGGCGCCCUCUCCGUCCCCCCGGGAUCUGUCUCCUUUCUCUUGCAGAAGAGAGUAGCAGCUCUUGCUUGUAGAUGUCACUGCUCAAUUUGCUGACCCACUGUAACGGCCCUGACUUCUCACCCAACGGAAGCAUAAAAGCCACCAGGACCCAUCCUGUGAAAUGGCAUCCAGGUGGCAACGCGGCCUUUCGGCAGCUCAGCCUGAUUUGGGAUGCAGCGUGGCAAAAGCACCAAAACAAGUCCCUGGUCCCCAGGUCAUGCAGACAUGGUGCUGUGGCCCAAAAAUAAAGCAAGAACUGAAUGAGAAACGCAGAUGUUGAUGAAUGAUUGAAGACCUCUGUCCUUGCAAGAAAACCAAAAUAAUUUUUACCUGACACCCUUCUCUUAUUAGGGUUUUUUAUGCGGAUUUUGUCAGUUGAUUUAACUUCUAAAAAGUUCAAUAGUAAGUUUCUUCUAUUUCCUCCAUCCUCAUUCAAUAAAAAAGACUUCUUCUAUUGCUACUGCAAGCGCCUGUCACUCGUACUAUCAUGACGUGGCUGAGCAGUGGUGAGUUGUAUUAGGAGGCAGGGACGAGACAAUCGGUGAUGCUGUGGGGAGAAGGAGCUGCUGUGGGGCUGUGGCCUCCUUGCCCACGUCACUCAACCCCACCGCACUUCCUCCACCCCAUCCUGUUUUCUAACGUAGAACAAACUUUGGGUCUGGGCCCUGGCACUAGUUCUGCUGCUGACUCUGUUUUACCCUUUUCUGCAGACUUUCUUCUUUCCCUACUCACCUCAGGUCAUUUAACCAAUGAUUUUUGUAUCCAGUCACUUGUCUUGAAGACCUUUGGCACAGGAGGACACAGGUUUUAUUACAGCGCUUCCACUACCAAGGUCCUCUUCCUCCUCAGCAGGAGCAGGACGUUGGCUGUGUGGACCUUCUGGGUUUUGUUUCGGUAUUAAUGCCUCUUCAGCUUCCUUAAAACUGGGGAAGAGAGGUGGUAACCAGGAAUUCUUCAUUUUACAAAGUGCCUAGGAUUUCUGCUUCACUGAUUUCCAGGAAAGAGGGGAGCCCUGAGCCCAUUCAGAGCUGCUCUGGCUGCGUGGUGCCGGCAUGCUGUGACACGUUCUGCCCUCACAGUCCUGUUCCAACAUUUAUCCAAAGGUGUACGUGAUCGCCAUUCCCAUUUCAGGCCAUUUGGACCCUGACUGCUCCCGUGCCCACCCCUCUCUGCCGUUAACCUGCCGAGUGACACAGCUCAGGUGAUUUGUACAGAGACUGUGGUCGAUGGUCGUCACCCAUGGGGGUGAGGACCCACCAGGACCCACCUGGCUUCACCCCUUGGUCCGUCAGAGCCUCUGGCUGGUCCCUACCCGCUGCUUGGCCUUUGCUAAUUUGUCCAGGCUGUGUCUUAAGGGAUGAAGUAAGUGAGGAGAUAGUUGGGGAGAGAUCUUGGAAGUCCUUUUAGCGAUGCUUUGGGUACUACAGUGGUUGUCGGGCUUGUGACUUGCUCUAAGAUGAGACGCAUUGAGGAACCAGAAAGAUGAAGGAGUACCACGGAAUGAAUCUCCGCUCUAUGACAUGGCUCCUACCUUCUUUAGCUUUUAUUUUCCUUUUUUUCAUCUAGCUACAUGUGGCCUGCCGAAAUAGCCCUGUGAGGGGGUUGUUAGAGAUUGUUUGUUUGUUCUUAUUAUUAUUUCUACUCAUUACAGUACUUUCGUGUCUGUGGAGCAAAGCACACAGAAAUUCUUUCUCUCUUCUUUUUUUUUUUUUUUUUUUUUUUUCCCAUCUUGGGACUGGAGCUGUACUAUGGAGGAAGGUGGUGACUUGCAGACCUCUGUGGUGACCCAGCACCCCCCGCCUUGCACCUCGGGUGCAGCAUCGCGCUGCCCGCUGCCACCGAGCCACCGCGGGGGCAAAGCCGUCCCUGGGCACCCGUUCCCACAACAGAACUCCACAUCGCAAGGAUGGAUAUCAUUAAAUACAACUUUAUUGGGUUUCAUUGUACAAUUUUCUUUUCAUGUCUUCCUCCUUUCUUCUCUCCACCUUCCCCUUGGUGUCUCCAUCAUACGUUUCACCGUAGAUACAGGGCAACUGUAAAGUUUGUUGGCCGUAUGACCCAGACCGGUUCCAGCCUGCUUUCCCUUUUCUCAGUUGGAUUUUUCUUUUUCAGGUUCGACACAAUAAGCACUCUGUCAUUUUUGCCUGGUGGGAGCAGAGGAGCUGUCAGAUACUUUCCUUGCACCCUGGGCACCCCCACUUGGUCUGUUCUGGGGUAGUUGCUGCCUUUUGUUACAAAGUCAUUUCUCAAACAGUUUAAUUUAUCCCAAGGGCUAUUGCCAAGUUACGGAUGGGGAUGUGUCGCAGGUGGUGGAUUGCUCUAGGACUUGUCAUUCCUGGCACAAAACGUACGGGAUUUCUUCUGUUGUAUUUUCUUUGCAUUGAAACUUAGACAAACCAUUUAGACGCUCAUUAUUCCGACCUUUGAAACAAACCUAAAAGGAAAAGCGCCGAUAGGCGUCGUGCAGGCUUUCAUCCCCAUAAACCGUCUUAUUUUUUAGUGGGAUGCAUCUGAUUAUGCCGCCGUUUAAACAAGAUACACAGAUACAUACUCAAAGCGGAACAAUUUUCAAUGCAUCAUAAUAACGAUAAUCCAAAGUGCUCUAUAUUUUUAACAUCUAUUUUUGUCAAGCGUGAAAACUAUGGAAAUACUGGAGAAGAGAGGAGGCAUAGUUAAAUAUCCCGGUUUGCCUUCUUUGUAAAUUGUGACUACAGUAAGGUGCACCUUCUCAUCACACUCCAUCACUUAAAUGCUGAGACACAGGGUGACAAAGGAGAGACUCGGGCACACGGCGUGUCCUUGGGCAGAAUAGGGACGUACCCAAGUACAGACAUUUACUUUGGAGCUCGGAGUUUCUCAGUGCCCUCUCGAAGUCGUCAGCAGCCCUCUGCUAAAGACAGGAUAAAACUUGGGUAACGAACUCCCCGCUUUCCUGGGAUUACCGGGCAGCCAGACCCAUAUUCCGGUAGAAAUUCUCUUUUUGUGGUGGUCACCGGAGGAUGCGGGCAGAGGUUGGGCAGGGGAGGGGAACCCAGCCCUGUGCUCCGGGCUCAGCAUCGUCACCGUCACCCACCAAACCACCCUCCCACCGCGAGGCCGCGGCGUCCCCGCCGCCCCGCGUUCUUAUUUCAAGCACAUUAUACGUACAUCGCACGUACUACGGUCCAGAGGAUGAAAUAGUUGCGUUCGGUAUUAUAAUUAGCAAAAAGCAUUUUCUUCCUUAUCAGCGUUCAAAAGACGAGUACGUCGACCUUCGGUGUCAAAGCGCCGCACGGAAAAUUUGGGUUGUGCUCUGUUUAAAAUAACUUUUC
This is a long non-coding RNA of Chroicocephalus ridibundus (black-headed gull), 10448 nucleotides long. RefSeq lists it as uncharacterized. The transcript has 3 exons. Lineage: Eukaryota; Metazoa; Chordata; Aves; Charadriiformes; Laridae. The record is from RefSeq and is a predicted model, not a curated record.